UCCCAGUUCGGAUUGCAGGCUGCAACCCGCCUGCAUGAAGUUGGAAUCGCUAGUAAUCGCGGAUCAGCAUGCCGCGGUGAAUACGUUCCCGGGCCUUGUACACACCGCCCGUCACACCAUGAGAGUCGGGAACACCCGAAGUCCGUAGCCUAACCGCAAGGGGGCGCGGCCGAAGGUGGGUUCGAUAAUUGGGGUGAAGUCGUAACAAGGUAUC
This 214-nucleotide ribosomal RNA is filed under the name uncultured bacterium. Its description in RNAcentral is "partial 16S ribosomal RNA". It matches the Rfam family "Bacterial small subunit ribosomal RNA", at positions 1286 to 1500 of the family's 1533-position model. The record is from RNAcentral.